RNAcentral lists this transfer RNA (99 nucleotides) under Alternaria alternata. Its description in RNAcentral is "tRNA-Val". RNAcentral also lists the same sequence under 1 other name. The record is from RNAcentral. Lineage: Eukaryota; Fungi; Ascomycota; Dothideomycetes; Pleosporales; Pleosporaceae.
GGCUCGUUGGUGUAGUUGGUUAUCACGUCAGUCUAACAGAGCGCUUCACAGCACUCCUUAGCACACUGAAGGUCCGGAGUUCAAACCUCCGAUGAGUCA